Molecule: ribosomal RNA, 138 nt
Filed under: uncultured bacterium
Lineage: Bacteria
Description: partial 16S ribosomal RNA
Rfam family: Bacterial small subunit ribosomal RNA
Source: RNAcentral
UGAGGGAUAUUGGUCAAUGGGGGAAACCCUGAACCAGCAACGCCGCGUGAGGGAAGACGGUUUUCGGAUUGUUAAACCUCUGUCCUCUGUGAAGAUAAUGACGGUAGCAGAGGAGGAAGCUCCGGCUAACUACGUGCC